GGCCAAGGAGAUUCCCUCUCCCGGGGGCCGCACCGUGCCCCUUCUGGAACGUAGCUCCUUGGUAGAGCAGCGAGCGGGCUCAUGGGGGAAAGGGCCUGAUGUCGCCCCUCCCCGUCAUUCACGCCCCCACAUGC
Ornithorhynchus anatinus (platypus) is the source of this 134-nucleotide small nucleolar RNA. RefSeq annotates it as small nucleolar RNA SNORA67. Lineage: Eukaryota; Metazoa; Chordata; Mammalia; Monotremata; Ornithorhynchidae. The record is from RefSeq and is a predicted model, not a curated record. The transcript has a single exon.